AGUGUUGGUUGUGUUAGCUAUA
Molecule: non-coding RNA, 22 nt
Filed under: Arabidopsis thaliana (thale cress)
Lineage: Eukaryota; Viridiplantae; Streptophyta; Magnoliopsida; Brassicales; Brassicaceae
Source: RNAcentral